ACAGCGACGACUCCUACGACUUAGAGACCUGUUUACACAAGGAGGGUACCCUCCCUCAACCAACAGGUGGGAAAUUCGGUGAAACACAGUGGAAUCAUUCCUUCCAGCCUGGGCUCGCUUCCUUCGGGAAGCUAGGCUCAGGUCUUUCCGUGAGGACAGCCUAGCCGGGGAACCGGUCUGCCUGGACGUUGUUAUCAGAAAUUCACACGGGUAACCGUGAUGGGAAAGCAACGAGUGUUUUAUUUGACGGGCUUCUGUUUACACAGUGGUCCAGUCUGUUGAGUGCAAUCGUAGGACAUGCCCUAGGGCUUGAACCCGAUACCGAUUACCGUCCUUGU
This is an RNase P RNA of 338 nucleotides. It matches the Rfam family "Nuclear RNase P". Rfam says of the family: Ribonuclease P (RNase P) is a ubiquitous endoribonuclease, found in archaea, bacteria and eukarya as well as chloroplasts and mitochondria. Its best characterised activity is the generation of mature 5'-ends of tRNAs by cleaving the 5'-leader elements of precursor-tRNAs.